UUUUCAUUGAUAUUAUGAUGAGUAUGGCCUGCCCGGUGAUAUAAUAUAUUAAACGGCCGCGGUAUUUUGACCGUGCAAAGGUAGCAUAAUCAUUUGCUUUUUAAAUGGAAGCUGGAAUGAAUGGUUUUACGGAAAUGUUCUUUCUUUUUUAUUUGAGAAAAGUUUAGGUUUUUGUGAGGACGCAAAGAUGUGAAUAUUAGACGAGAAGACCCUAUCAAGCUUUAUAGUGAGCUUUAUCAAAAUAUUAUUUUGUUUAAGUUAUUAUUUUGUUGGGGCAACAGACAUUGGUUUUAUUUGUUUUGUAUUUUAUUUAUUUGGAUCCAUUUAUUUAUGAUAAUAAUAUUAAGUUACUGUAGGGAUAACAGCUUAAUUAUAUUGGAGAGCUCUAAUUGAUAAUAUAGUUUGUGACCUCGAUGUUGAAUCAAGGUGUCUAUGUUCCGCAGAUGGAAUAUUAGAAAGUCUGUUCGACUUUUGAUUCCUUACG
This 484-nucleotide ribosomal RNA is filed under the name Orphnaeus brevilabiatus. Its description in RNAcentral is "partial 16S ribosomal RNA". It matches the Rfam family "Bacterial large subunit ribosomal RNA", at positions 1830 to 2600 of the family's 2925-position model. The record is from RNAcentral. Lineage: Eukaryota; Metazoa; Arthropoda; Chilopoda; Geophilomorpha; Oryidae.